Molecule: small nuclear RNA, 158 nt
Organism: Cricetulus griseus (Chinese hamster)
Lineage: Eukaryota; Metazoa; Chordata; Mammalia; Rodentia; Cricetidae
Gene: U1
Rfam family: U1 spliceosomal RNA
About the family: U1 is a small nuclear RNA (snRNA) component of the spliceosome (involved in pre-mRNA splicing). Its 5' end forms complementary base pairs with the 5' splice junction, thus defining the 5' donor site of an intron. There are significant differences in sequence and secondary structure between metazoan and yeast U1 snRNAs, the latter being much longer (568 nucleotides as compared to 164 nucleotides in human).
Source: Ensembl
AUACUUACCUGGGAGAUACCAUGUUCACGAAGGUGGUUUUCCCAGGGAGAGGCUUAUCCAUCAUUGCACUGUGCUGUGCUGCCUCUUCGAUUUCCCCAAAUGAGGGAAACUCGACUGCAUAAUUUGUGGUAGUGGGGGACUGCGUUAGAGCUCUCUGG